AUGAUGGCAAGAAGUUUACUGUAAUCAGUCACUAAAAUUAUAGUAUAUGAAAAUGGUACAAAAUGAUGGUACACAAACAAAAGAAACAGUGUUCAAAAACAAAAUAAUGUAACACUCAAACUUCCAAAAAGAGUGUUAUGUGCCACCUUAAUAAGAUACCACUCCUAACGUAGUGCUUAAAAUCCUGAUACAUUUACAAUUUUUAGUGCCACCAAUAAAAAAUAUAUUAAAAUAACAUUUUAGUAGAAGCAAACAAAACGUGGAGGCUAAGAGCAUCUUUAUUGCGGUUUCCUAAAUGAGUUUUAAAACAAAUAACAUCUAUUAAUUAAAGGAAAACUAAAUUAAAAUUUGUAUAACCGAUCUUUAAUCUGUGAUUUUCGGAUCUGUUUCUUAAGGAAAGAAGGACACACGUGUCAGAAUGUGGGCAACACAAUUAAUUUUUUUUUUCUUUUUCUUUUUCUCUUCCCCGGUUCUUCGACAUCUCUUCGUUUUCUUCGUCAUCUCUUCGGUUCUUCGACAUCUCAGAGGACGACGAUGGUUUGUUCUUCGUCUUCUCUUCGUCGAUCGAUUGAAGAUCAGAAUUGAUGGUUUGUUCUUCGUCUUCUCUUCGUCGAUUGAUGGAAGAUGAGACUUGAUGGUUUGUUCUUCGUCUUCUCUUCUCUUCGUUCUUCGUCUUCUCUUCGUCGAUGGUUUGUUUUUGGGGCAGAGUUUGUCGAUUGAUGGAAGAUCAGAGUCAUCCAUCAAGGAAGGAGAAGCUGAGAUUCAACGAUCACAAGAAGAAUCAAGUCUUCUUCAAUAAAGCUCAGGUUCCAAGCACAGAGAUAGAAAAAUCAGAGACACGAGAUCUUGGGAGCUAAGUUGUCUUCUUCUUGAGUAAGUGUGUUCCAUUUAGUCACGGACACAAGUAUUGGUCUUGAUGUGUAGUAAGUUUAGUCUUCUCAUGUCAAUGCAAGUGUAUUCAAGAUUGUUGUGUCUAUAGCUUUGUUGUUGUUGUCUGUCACGGACAAGAGGUCAGUGUAAUGUGGUCCUUGUUGUUUUGUGUCACAGAUAAGAGGUCAAAUUAUGUUGUGUUGUUGUUUUGUGUCACGAACAAGAUGUUGUAAUGAAUUAAUAAUAUAUUGUAUGUGUCGCAAACUUGUAUAAAUAAACAUUUGUUCUUCCUUUACA
Molecule: long non-coding RNA, 1167 nt
Organism: Brassica napus (rape)
Lineage: Eukaryota; Viridiplantae; Streptophyta; Magnoliopsida; Brassicales; Brassicaceae
Exons: 2
Source: RefSeq, a predicted model, not a curated record